RNAcentral lists this ribosomal RNA (492 nucleotides) under uncultured bacterium. RNAcentral describes it as "partial 16S ribosomal RNA". It matches the Rfam family "Bacterial small subunit ribosomal RNA", at positions 29 to 507 of the family's 1533-position model. The record is from RNAcentral.
AGUGAACGCUGGCGGUAGGCCUAACACAUGCAAGUCGAACGGCAGCACAGUAAGCGCUUGCUCUUACGGGUGGCGAGUGGCGGACGGGUGAGGAAUACAUCGGAAUCUACUUUUUCGUGGGGGAUAACGUAGGGAAACUUACGCUAAUACCGCAUACGACCUACGGGUGAAAGCAGGGGAUCUUCGGACCUUGCGCGAUUGAAUGCGCCGAUGUCGGAUUAGCUAGUUGGUGGGGUAAAGGCCCACCAAGGCGACGAUCCGUAGCUGGUCUGAGAGGAUGAUCAGCCACACUGGAACUGAGACACGGUCCAGACUCCUACGGGAGGCAGCAGUGGGGAAUAUUGGACAAUGGGCGCAAGCCUGAUCCAGCCAUACCGCGUGGGUGAAGAAGGCCUUCGGGUUGUAAAGCCCUUUUGUUGGGAAAGAAAAGCAGCAGGUUAAUACCCCGCUGUUCUGACGGUACCCAAAGAAUAAGCACCGGCUAACUUCGUG